This 208-nucleotide long non-coding RNA is filed under the name Mustela putorius furo (domestic ferret). Its description in RNAcentral is "lncRNA (ENSMPUG00000028913.1)". The record is from RNAcentral. Lineage: Eukaryota; Metazoa; Chordata; Mammalia; Carnivora; Mustelidae.
CUCUGGCCAGGUCCCCCUAGGGAAAAGUAGAGUCAGCUACACAACUAAAGUAGCCACAGCUCCCGGUUCUCUCCCUCAGACUGCUUCUGUCCAAAGUGGAUUACAUUGAUAAAAAUGAUCAGAGUUCUCAAUAUUCUCCUGAGACAAAAGUCAUGCAAAGACACAAGGAAAAGGCAGCCAUCUACAAGCCAAGGAGAGAGGCCUCAAG